CCAAACUUGGUCAUUUAGAGGAAGUAAAAGUCGUAACAAGGUCUCCGUAGGUGAACCUGCGGAGGGAUCAUUAACACUAUUUGGCUGUAGUGCACGCAAGUGCCUGCAGUUCAAAUUCUAACCACACUGUUGAACUCGGUUACCUCGCGUAACCAAUCCUCCCUUUGAAUUGGAAGCGUUAAUGUUAGUUUGUAGUGGGAUGAGCAAUCAUCGACUAACAUUAGCUAUCAAAGCUUGACUUUGAAGUUUCCUUUUCUUAGGCAAUUCCACUUAAAAUUUCCUCCACUAUAGAAAUGAACCCAUUUCACACCUUCGUACUCCAAUUGACUGAUCAAAGAAUGCUAAAGAGACCCGCAAGGGAAUCGAUAGCAGGACUAAGAUAAUUCUUAAACUAAGCACAACUCUUAGCAACGGAUAUCUUGGCUCUCGCAUCGAUGAAGAACGCAGC
This 448-nucleotide unclassified non-coding RNA is filed under the name uncultured fungus. RNAcentral's name for it is "partial contains small subunit ribosomal RNA, internal transcribed spacer 1, and 5.8S ribosomal RNA". The stretch from base 1 to 73 matches the Rfam family "Eukaryotic small subunit ribosomal RNA", at positions 1759 to 1831 of the family's 1831-position model. The record is from RNAcentral. Lineage: Eukaryota; Fungi.